GAGGCGCGCGCGCGGGAACUGCAGCAGCCGCCGGGCGCGGGCGCGCCCCGUCCGUGGGUCCGGGUCCUGCCUGUGGGUCCGUCUGUGUCCGCGUGCCCCCCCCCCCCCCCGCGGCUCCCGUCACCCGCGCGGGCAGGGAUGUCCCCGGGCUCGGCGUCAUCGGCCGCCCCGCGGCUGCUGUACCGCAGCACCCGCCUGCUCCACGCGGCCUUCCUGCGGCUGCACCAGCAGCAGCAGCGCGAGGACGUCUUCUGCGACGUGGUGCUGCGGGCAGAAGGGGAGGCGGUGGCAGCCCACUGCUGCGUCCUGUCGGUGUGCAGCCCCUUCUUCAUGGAGCAGCUGGCCCGGGAGCU
This is a long non-coding RNA of Oxyura jamaicensis (ruddy duck), 353 nucleotides long. RefSeq lists it as uncharacterized. The record is from RefSeq and is a predicted model, not a curated record. NCBI's taxonomy places the organism in Eukaryota, Metazoa, Chordata, Aves, Anseriformes, Anatidae. The transcript is spliced from 3 exons.